Molecule: ribosomal RNA, 496 nt
Filed under: Lacticaseibacillus rhamnosus
Lineage: Bacteria; Bacillati; Bacillota; Bacilli; Lactobacillales; Lactobacillaceae
Description: bacterial SSU rRNA
Rfam family: Bacterial small subunit ribosomal RNA
Source: RNAcentral
UAGAGUUUGAUCCUGGCUCAGGAUGAACGCUGGCGGCGUGCCUAAUACAUGCAAGUCGAACGAGUUCUGAUUAUUGAAAGGUGCUUGCAUCUUGAUUUAAUUUUGAACGAGUGGCGGACGGGUGAGUAACACGUGGGUAACCUGCCCUUAAGUGGGGGAUAACAUUUGGAAACAGAUGCUAAUACCGCAUAAAUCCAAGAACCGCAUGGUUCUUGGCUGAAAGAUGGCGUAAGCUAUCGCUUUUGGAUGGACCCGCGGCGUAUUAGCUAGUUGGUGAGGUAACGGCUCACCAAGGCAAUGAUACGUAGCCGAACUGAGAGGUUGAUCGGCCACAUUGGGACUGAGACACGGCCCAAACUCCUACGGGAGGCAGCAGUAGGGAAUCUUCCACAAUGGACGCAAGUCUGAUGGAGCAACGCCGCGUGAGUGAAGAAGGCUUUCGGGUCGUAAAACUCUGUUGUUGGAGAAGAAUGGUCGGCAGAGUAACUGUUGUCGG